Molecule: ribosomal RNA, 253 nt
Filed under: uncultured bacterium
Lineage: Bacteria
Description: partial 16S ribosomal RNA
Rfam family: Bacterial small subunit ribosomal RNA
Source: RNAcentral
UACGGAGGGUGCAAACGUUGCUCGGAAUCAUUGGGCGUAAAGCGCAUGUAGGCGGUCCAGCAAGUCGGGUGUGAAAGCCCUCGGCUUAACCGAGGAAGUGCAUUCGAAACUACUGGACUUGAGUACUGAAGAGGGUCGCGGAAUUCCCGGUGUAGAGGUGAAAUUCGUAGAUAUCGGGAGGAACACCAGUGGCGAAGGCGGCGACCUGGGCAGAUACUGACGCUGAGAUGCGAAAGCGUGGGGAGCAAACAGG